This is a long non-coding RNA of Homo sapiens (human), 476 nucleotides long. RefSeq lists it as uncharacterized. The record is from RefSeq and is a predicted model, not a curated record. The transcript is spliced from 5 exons. NCBI's taxonomy places the organism in Eukaryota, Metazoa, Chordata, Mammalia, Primates, Hominidae.
GAUUCUUCCAACAACCCAAGGAGGUAGUCAAGAUGAAAUCAGCUGAGAAACUGUCCAUCACAUAUGCUACCUGAAGAGUACAAACUGAGUCAUCAUCAAUUUGAGACAAGACAAGGUUCAGUUUUGAGGCUAAAUGACCUCAAACUUUCAGAACAUCAUAUCAGACCAUUUUUGGCUCAUUUAGCGUCUAAUAUUGAUUUGUGAAGCACUUUGAUGACUGGAGACAAGAGGAGCAAUCUCCUUCCUAUUUGAUGCUGCUAUCUACUGUCACUCAAACUUUCUUGAUCUUCUAGAACCAUUCAUUCCAUUUGAACAGCAAGAAAAGUGAUAUUAGCAGUAAGACUUGAAGACAGUCCUCUAACUCUUGAAGAUUUUGUUGGGAAGUUGACUGAACAUCCUGUCUGGCUUCUGAGGCAUUAGUAAAUAUUCAUGCCGAUUGCUGGGAAUGUAAUGGUCAAAAAAAGAGACAUGGUCCA